Molecule: ribosomal RNA, 423 nt
Filed under: uncultured bacterium
Lineage: Bacteria
Description: bacterial SSU rRNA
Rfam family: Bacterial small subunit ribosomal RNA
Source: RNAcentral
CCGAUUAGGUAGUUGGUGAGGUAACGGCUCACCAAGCCAACGAUCGGUAGCUGGUCUGAGAGGAUGAUCAGCCACACUGGGACUGAGACACGGCCCAGACUCCUACGGGAGGCAGCAGUGGGGAAUAUUGGACAAUGGGGGCAACCCUGAUCCAGCAAUGCCGCGUGAGUGAUGAAGGCCUUCGGGUUGUAAAGCUCUUUUACCCACGACGAUGAUGACGGUAGUGGGAGAAUAAGCCCCGGCUAACUUCGUGCCAGCAGCCGCGGUAAUACGAAGGGGGCUAGCGUUGUUCGGAGUUACUGGGCGUAAAGGGCGCGUAGGCGGCGGACCAAGUCAGAUGUGAAAGCCCUGGGCUCAACCCGGGAUGUGCAUUUGAGACUGGUCUGCUAGAGGGUGGGAGAGGAUAGUGGAAUUCCCAGUGUA